RNAcentral lists this unclassified non-coding RNA (1000 nucleotides) under Heterodera sp. Leh. RNAcentral describes it as "sequence contains 18S rRNA gene, ITS1, 5.8S rRNA gene, ITS2 and 28S rRNA gene". The record is from RNAcentral. Lineage: Eukaryota; Metazoa; Nematoda; Chromadorea; Rhabditida; Heteroderidae.
GCGAAGGUAGUCGGAUGCUUUAUACGCUUAAUUUCUGCACGUAAACCAUUCCACCCAGCACACAUGGCGAGCAGUUGCGUCCUAGUUACGGACCGUAAAACGCGAAAGAACCUGACAGUUUCGCGCCAACACAACCACACUCCACGGCCGAGCAUUUUCAAGAAUAGCGCAAGAACACGUCAUGCCGACAUGAUCUCACCAACAUAACAGGCACAGCAGUGCCUUUUAUGAUAACGACCCUGAACCAGGCGUGCCAAUGGAUGUAACUCCAAUGGCGCAAUGUGCAUUCGAAAGUUUUGUGUUCAAGGUUUCUGCAGUUCGCACUAAUUAUCGCAGUUGGCUGCGUUCUUCAUCGAUCCACGAGCCGAGUGAUCCACCGAUAAGACUAGAAUUUCUUUCUUCAACAAAGAAGUGGUCAAAAAAAUAAAUGAAAAAAAACACUGGCGGUGCCUAGCUGACACUCAUUGAGUCUUAAGCCACGUGCAGAAGCAUAGCACGGGCCCUACCACGUCGUCUCAUCACGGCCACGGACGUAGCACACAGGCACAGACACACCGCUAGUUACUGUUCUUAAGGCCAGGAAAAAACCUCUUUUCCAAGACAAGGUGUCUCAUGUGUCGGGGGGGACAACCCCGCUAGGAGACACAAAAAAACAACACACCCGAUGGGGGAUACUAAGGGGGAGUGGGAAGAAAACCGAGAAAAAAAAAAAACAAAAAGCAGGUGGGUCCGUUGGAAAUUACAUUGGUUGGGCAGCCUGGGUGGGGGUUUUUUUUUUUGAAAAGGAACGUGUGUGUUUUUUAUGAGGACCGAUAUAGGAGACCCUGAAGAGUUCUUAGGGCUCUGAUGGAAACGCCCACCCAGGGUUUUCGGGUGGCCACGAACAAAACGGCCGUGUUUUUUGCCCUUUACAGGCCGGGACUGGGGGCGCUGCACACCACUUGUGGCGGGGGGAAAAGGGUGGUGGGGAUGCAUUCCCGUGGUUAUUUUCCACGGAGUA